Molecule: signal recognition particle RNA, 265 nt
Filed under: Pseudomonadota bacterium
Lineage: Bacteria; Pseudomonadati; Pseudomonadota
Also listed under: 2 other names
Description: signal recognition particle sRNA large type
Rfam family: Bacterial large signal recognition particle RNA
About the family: The signal recognition particle (SRP) is a universally conserved ribonucleoprotein involved in the co-translational targeting of proteins to membranes. Archaeal SRP consists of a 7S RNA and homologues of the eukaryotic SRP19 and SRP54 proteins.
Source: RNAcentral
CCGUGCUAGGCGGGGAGCUAGCGGUUCCCUGUACCCGCAAUCCGCUAUAGCGGGGCUGAACUCCCGUCCGAGGCGGCGCCGUUCAGGGUCUGGCCGGGACACGUGGCGACGAGGACCGGGUCCUGCGCGCCGGGACCUGACCAACCCCGCCAGGUCCGGAAGGAAGCAACGGUACGUCAGAUCUCCCGGGUGCCGCAGGGCAGCCCGGUCGGAGCCGGCGACCCCGAUCCCGCCUGGGCGGCGGGCGUCGACGACGGGUGCACGG